AGGCUUGUAGCACGUGCUGUACACUAUUUGGGACGGGGAAAAUACUUUGUGGAUGGUGCACAUGCAUGAGCUUUAUUUGAACAGAGGCGGCAUACCUACAACGUAUUUGGUUUGGGAUGCCGGGUGAUCCGGAAUCAUCCGAACCUAGAACUGAAGCUAGCCGAGCCGUUUGGUUCGCAUCGCCGGAAGAGCUCAUCCGUCAUCGACUGCUUCCAUCUAGCGCUAAUCAACCAUUAGAUAUUCAGAUGGAACCAUUCUGUUUGGAGGGGAGCCGGCCCAUGCCGCACCGCAUCAACCGCUAAACCAAACACGCUAUUAAAGAUCGAGUUGAAGUCCAACUGACUGACGCAUCUACAUGGGGGACUGACGCAUGAUGAGGGUGUGAUAAAAAAUAAAAAGCAGCUCAUCACAAACAAACACUACAAACCCCUGAAUCAUGGACAGAUUAUUGAUGGAUUGACGACGUAGAGCCGUUGGAUGCUCGACCGGCCGGUGUUGUCGAGCGGGUCCUAGCUCAUUAGCCGAUGUAGUAGAGGGGGUCGGGCAGCUUGAAGGUGCGCGCCCCCUCCGGCGCGCCGAGGAUGUCGCUCCACUGGUCGCCGAUGUUGCCGACGAUGACGUAGCCGGCGUCCUGGAGCUUCCGGCGCUCGUCGGACUUGAAGCCGAUGGCGGUGCCAUUGUACCCGACGGGCUUGAGCAGGAGCUUCAUCCAGCCGGAGUAGCCCUCGCGGCGGAGGUUGGCGACGGUGAUGGCCCUCUGGUUCUCUCUGCGGCCCGUCAGGAACACCGGCGUGAUGCCGAGAGAGAUGAGCUUGUUGUACAGCCGCUGCGUCUCCGGCAGCACCGGCGCGCUUCCCGCAAACACGUACGCGUUGAAGCUCGUCGCGUCGUACGGCUUCGUGCUGUGUGGUAGCAAUAGCAUGCAUGGAAGAAGACAAGUGGAGACCAUUAGAUCAGCAAAUAAACUCAUUACUUGGAUAAUCUACAAAUCAUUCACUGCCGGUAGUUCCUCCAUUUCAAAUUAUUGAUCGUUUUAGUUUUUUUAUAAAUUCAUAGAUUAUGCUAAAAAUCUCGUACACAUGCAUAGAAAAACUAUGAAAUAAAAAAGCUAAAACAAACUGUAGUUUAGGAUGGAGGGAGUAUUUGUCGUAGGAACCGCUGUGUAUAGUUCUAAAACGACUUUAUUACAAAUGGAGGACCGGUAAAAAAUAUCUACUGUUGUAUGAUGCCCACUGGUCGUCGUCCUAUACUGACUGUCUCUCAUCGACGUGACGUCCCCAUCUGCCACUGUUGUGCUCGGUCAUGCAUGCAUGUGUCCCACAGGACCGGUCCCUUUCUUGAUAAAAAACCAACGUGUUCUUGUGCAAAUAUCAGAUUCUGGCAUUUUAUCUCCGGCUACGUAAUUCUGGCAUUCCUAGAUCCUGAGAGUAAGUACGUACAAAUACCAGCCAACGGCGCGGCGCUAUACUACGUGACAACGUACACGUGUAUGUACAAGAACAACUUAUACGUAUUUGGUUAAAAAAUAAAUUAAUCUGCUUAUCUUCAACAUCAUAUAUUUUGAGAACGGAAGGAGCACGCGGUGGUGUUGAAUCCUAAACAACGUAUGUACUACUUAUUACGUACCCAAAGCCAUUGGAGGCGUAGUAGGGGAGGUUGCUGAGGGCCGUCUCGUCGAUGUCGAACACCCACACCUCCUUGCCGUUGCCAGCGAGCUGGAGCCCCUCGGCGUACGCGACGGCCUCGUCGAUGACGACGCGGGAGUCCCUGCGGUAGUGCCCGCCGAGCAUGUAGUUGCCGACGUAGCGCUCGCACCUUGCCGGCACCGUCCUCCAGUCGCGCUUGUUGUUCGUCUCCACGGCCAGCCGCCAGCUGUCGCACGGCACGCCGCCGCGCCAGCCGAGGUCCCCGGCGGAGCCCACCAGCGGGCGCAGCGCGUGGAUCACCGGCGCCGCCACCUCCUCCUCGACGAAGCGCUCCGCGGCCGCCUGGACGGCCCGCGCCGCCGUCGGCAUCCGGAGGCCGCUCAGCUCCCACGCGCCGCCGCAGGAGGUGCUGCCGGCCACGAGGGCCACGAGAAGGACGAGCCUGGCUGUCGCCAGCGUCGUUGCCAUGGCCGCUCUCUGAGUCUGCUAAGCUAAGCCGGUACUGGACAGUGUGCUGCUUAGCUUGUUGAGAUGAGCAGCUGCCCACGUGAGCUUUAAUAGACAGUGCGUGCCUGCAUGCUGGGAUCUGGCGGGACCCGCAUGUCAGUUCAGCGCGGGGUGACGAGGGUAACGCUUGGACGUUGUCGCGAUAGGGUGAAAUUAUUGGUCCGUGGACGGUGGAGGACCAAUAAUGCAAUGCAAGGCUGGGCCUCUCCCCUCGGGACGGCGUCCAGGCCUUAGGCGGUUAGGCCUCCUCCAAUGAUAUGAGCUAUUACCUAGCUCUGGCAAGCGUGUAUGUGUCUGUCUCUCUCCAUUGCUUCGUCUUGGGAGCUGAGAGAGAGGGGCAGUACCAAACUCUUCUCUAUCUUGCCUUGCUUUGCGCAGCAAGGCUGGGCAAACCUUGCCCAGCUAGCUUAGGGGGCGUUUGUUUCUUUAGCACCUUUUAAAAUUCAUGUCACAUCGAAUGUUUAGAUACUAAUUAGGAGUAUUAAAUAUAGGCUAACUACAAAACUAAUUACACGGACAGAGACUAAUUUGCGAGACGAAUCUAUUAAGUCUAAUUAGUCCAUGAUUUGACAAUGUGAUGCUACAGCAAACAUGUGCUAAUGAUGGAUUAAUUAGGUUUAAUAGAUUCGUCUCAUGAAUUAGCCUCCAUCUGUGUAAUUAGUUUUAUAAUUAGUUCAUAUUUAAUCCUCCUAAUUAGCCUUCGAAUAUUCGAUGUGACAUAAAUUUUAGUCAGUACUAAAGAUCCAAACACCCCUAAAGCUAGCAAAGGAUCCAAGCAGACCCGCAGGGAGAAAGGAAGACCGUACUUAGCACAUUUCGUUCUGUCCAUCGCCCUUAGCACAUUUCUGUCCCAUACGUAUAUGCAUCCUUACAAUGUAUGUCAUAUUUAGAUUUUAGAGUAUACGAAUUAAACGGAACUAGCAUUUCAGUUUGUAUAGGUGUGAUUUGUUGCCACGAGAAAGGACGCCUAGCUUAGCCAUCACCGUUGGCACUUACUGUACUGGGAUACAGGAUUAUCUUGUUCUGCUUCUCCUGUUGCUUGUAGCCGGCCGGGCGCAUCUAUGUGCAGUGUGGUCGUGGGGCCGCAUUGUCUGGGACGUGAUGCGCGCCUUUUCUUUUUCGGAGCGACAUGACGCACGCUUGGGCAGUUGCCUGGGAGGCUGUGUCUGGGAGGGACGUGGUGGGGCGGCAGCUCCCAGCAGAGAAAAUAGAGGGCAGCGCAUCUGAUUCACGAGUUCCUGAAGAUGAUGCGGCGGACGGGGCACGAAGCAAAAGCGCGAAGCAUGUGUGCGUGGGGCGCCGUGCCAAUAAUGCAACGCUGGCCGGGCCGGCAUGACUUGGUUGGUUUUGUACUAGCAGCGGCAAAGUAGGCGACACUCACACAGUUAAUCAUGCUCUUUUAAUUUGGCGCUUCCAUGAUAUGCCGUGAUCCUGGUCCUGGAUGUUAGAGAGAUACUUGUAACGACUUGUAACGAGUUUAGUACUAUUGUCAUCUUAGAGAUUGACUCGGUUGCUUGGAGAUAGGAUCCUCUUGUAAUUCAAGUUAUAAGACAAACGAGUUGUAGAUGAUCACAAUAAUAAAAUUAAUUCAAUAGUACUCAUGUAAGUCUCUUGGUGAAUUUCACUCUAUAUUAACAUACAACCGUGGCCAGCCAAGAUAGGCAACCACGUUUUCUCAUAUUCUUACAUGGUAAUCAGAGCAUCCUCUUCCACAAACAUCCACAACUUCCCAAACUAACCCAUGGCGUGACCAUAUGCCCCUGCACCGGCGCUACUAGGAGUUGUCUCCGAGAAAUUAACUUGAGACAACUACCUCCUAUGGAAGGCUCAAUUCCUUCCAGCUAUAUGAGGAGCUCAACUCAUGGGGAUCCUAGAUGGAUCUACCCCUGAGCCGCCCAAGAUUCUAGAGGUGGUCAAGGCAGACAACAAGAAGGAGAUUGUCCACAACGCUGAGUACGAUGCUGGAUUGCAAAAGAUCAGCAAGUACUAAGCUACCUAUUGAAUUCUCUCACCAAGGAUGCAUUAGCAUCGGUGGCAACAGUAACCAUAGCAGCAGAAGCAUGGGGGCGCUUGAGAGGAUGUUCUCAGCGCACUCCAAGGCGCGGAUUGCAAAUUUGCGCGUUCUACUCUCCACAGCCAAGAAGGGUAAUAUGCCCUCCUCAGUUUAUUUCACCAAGAUGUGUUCUUUCAAAGAUGAGCUAGCCACGGUUGGAAAGAUUAUAGAUGAUGAUGAGAUGGUCCACUUUAUUCUGAAUGGUCUUAACUUUGACUAUAAUCCCUUUGUGUCGUCUAUGCUCGGUCGUGUUGACUUUCUCUCCUUGAGUGACUUGUAUUCUCAGUUACUCACAUAUGAUCAACGCAUGGAGAUGUUUCAAGAAGGAGGACAAUUCCUGUCAUCAAGUAAUAUGGUUGGUAGAGGACGCGGCUACUAUGGUAGUCGUGGUCGUGGCAGUAACAACAAUUGUGGUCGUGGCCGUGGCAAUGGUGGUUGCGGUGGAUCAUAUCGUGGCAGCAGCUCCGGCCCUAGCAACCCCAACACAUCCAAGCAAGGUGGACGCAAUAACAAAACAGUAUGUCAGAUCUGCAAGAAAGUAGGACAUGAAGCAAAUCGUUGCCGGUAUAGAUAUGAUGAUGAUGAAGAUCAACAAAAUCAGAACAUGGCAGGGGCGGCUACUACUGGUUACGGUUAUGACACAAACUGGUAUGUAGACAAUGGAGCGUCUGAUCAUGUUACUAGUGAACUUGAGAAGAUGACAGUUCAUGACAAGUAUAAUGGGCGAGAUCAGUACAUGCGGCCAAUGGAACAGGUAUGAAAAUUAGUAACAUUUGUCAUACAACUUUACAUACCCCUAGCAUAAAUAUUAUUCUAAAAAAUAUUCUUCAUGUUCCUAGUGCUAGUAAGAAUUUAUUUUCUGUUCACAUGCUAGCUCGACAUAAUGAUGCCUUCAUAGAAUUUCAUCCAAACUUCUUUUGUAUAAAGGAUCAGGAAAUGAAGAAAGUUAUCCAUCAAGGUAGAUCCCAAGGAGGCCUCUAUCCCUUAGGAUCUCAUCUAGCUCUAGAAGAUUCUAGAAAACAAGUUUUUGUCGUCCAAAAGCCCUUUACUACACGAUGGCAUAGCAGACUUGGGCAUCCAGAUCUUCCUAUUAUAGAAAAAAUUCUUAGUUUAAAUAAACUUUUGUGUGCUAGUGAUAAAAAUUCAGAAUCUAUUAGUAAUUCUUGUCAGAUGGCUAAGAGCCAUCAGCUUCCACACCCUAUAUCAAAUAGUUCAUCUGAAUCUCCUCUUGAUUUAAUUUUUUCUGACGUUUGGGGCCGGCUCCCUUAUCUGUUGGACAACAUAGCUACUAUGUUAGCUUCAUUAAUGAUUUCAGCAAAUAUACAUGGAUCUACCUGCUAAAGAAAAAAUCCGAUGUAUUUCUAAUCUUCCAAAAUUUCCAGCAACUCGUAGAAAGAAAAUUCAACCAAAAUACUAUGCAAUUAGAUUGGGGAGGAGAAUAUGAGAAGUUGAACUCCUUCUUUCAACAUAUAGGAAUCACACACCGUGUUUCUUUUCCUUAUGCUCAUCAACAAAACAGUGUGGCCGAAUGAAAACACCGCCAUAUAGUUGAGGUAGGGCUUGCUCUUCUCGCUAAUGCAUCCAUGCCUUUAAAAUAUUGGGAUCAUACCUUUCUUAUCACUACCUACCUCAUUAAUCUCCUUCCAAGCAAAGUCAUUAACUUUGAUGUUCCUGUUUCUCGGCUCCUUCAUGAAACUCCUGAUUAUACAUCACUACGAGUCUUUAGAUGAGCCUGUUGGCCUAAUUUGCAACCAUACAACUCACAAAAGCUUACUUUCCGCUCUACUCGUUGUGCCUUCUUAGGCUCUAGUGCUAUGCACAAGGGUUUUAAGUGUCUUGACAUCUCCACUGGAUGCAUCUACAUAUCUAGAGAUGUUGACUUUGAUGAGGAUUUUUUCCCUUUUGCCCAUCUCAAUCCUAACGCCGGUGCUCAGUUGCGUCAAGAAAUCAUUCUUUUACCCUCACAUUUGCUUAACCAUGGGGAUGUAAGUUGUCUAACUGAUGUUGCUAAUGUUCCUGGUGAGGCCAUUGAUGAUGUGCAGGUGUUUGUCCCAGAAAUUUUGGAGUCAAACCAUGGAGAAGAAGAAGUUGCAUGUGAUAAUAUUGAAGGCGCUAACGGAGUCUCGGCUGUAGAAAAUCCAAGCUGAUACACCUGCACCUGCAGCUGGUGGAUUAGGCAUGGGAUCCUGGGUGGAUUUGCUUGCGCCCGCCAAAGCCAACCCGAGUGCAACGCGUGGGGGGAAGAGGGCAGAGUGCGCGCAUCCCGCGCCUCCGCGUGUGCUUCCCAGUCGCCGACCGCGCGCGCCUCGCACCUCUUUGUCAUCCACAUGUGGCGGUUGGUCUCUGUCCAUCCCGACCGCUCCAGCAGCUCCGCUUGUGCGCACGCCUUGCAGAUCUUCUGCGCCUCCUGCUAGAUCCGGCACGCAGCUGCAGUCAUCAGUAAAUGAUGCACCUCCUCUACGGUGCACACGACUUCAACAUGGUAUUGUUCAAUCCAAAAAGUUUACAGAUGGGACUAUUUGAUAUGGAAAUUUAACCUGAGAAUUUGCUGGAAGCAUUAAACAAUUCAAGAUGGAAACAAGCUAUGCAGGAGAAGUUUACAGCAUUACUCAAGAAUAAUACCUGGCACUUAGUUGAGCCACCCAAUGGUGGCUGCAACUUAAUUGAUUGCAAAUGGGUGUACAAAGUUAAAAACAAGGCUGAUGGGACAUUUUAUAGAUACAAGGCAUGAUUGGUAGCAAAGGGGUUUCGCCAAAGGUAUGGAAUUGAUUGUGACGAUACAUUUAGUGCAGUUGUCAAGAUUGCUACUAUAAGGCUUGUCUUGUCUUUAGCAAUAUCUAGAGGUUGGUGUUUAAGACAAUUGGAUGUUCAGAAUGCGUUUCUGCACGGUGUUCUGGAAGAGGAGGUAUACGUGAAACAACCUCCGGAUUUUGAAAAAAUUGAUGCUCCACAUCUAGUAUGUAGACUGGACAAAGCAAUUUAUGGUCUGUAACAAGCCCUACAUGCUUCGUAUGCAAGAGUGAGCUCCAAACUUAUUGAUACUGGGUUAAUAGCUUCAAAAUCAAAUAAUUCUCUGUUUAUUUAUAAAAAAUCAGGAUUUGUCAUUUCUAUGCUUAUAUAUGUUGAUGAUAUCAUUGUCACUAGUUCUACUAGUGAAGCUGUUUCGGUCUUGCUAUCAGAUUUGAGGAAAGAAUUUGCUCUCAAAGAUAUUGGUGACUUGAAUUACUUCUUUGGAAUUAAGGUUCAGAGAAGUGAGGAAGGAUUGUUACUUUCUCAACAAAAGUAUGCAGAAGAGAUUCUUACACGGGUUGGUAUGGUCAAUUCUAAAGGUUCUCCAACACCAUUGUCAAUUUCGAAAAAACUCUCAAGUUUUGAAGGUGAACCGCUAGGUCCAGAAGACAGUACACGCUACAAGAGUAUUGUUGGUGCUUUGCAGUAUCUUACUCUUACAUGGCCGUAUUUAGCCUUUGCAGUUAACAAGGUAUGCCAAUUCUUGCGGCGCCGACUUCUAUUCAUUGGAUAGUUGUUAAACGAAUUCUUCAUUUUGUUCAAUAUAUGUUGGAUAUUGGGUUAAAUAUAAAGAAGUCAAGCUCCAUAACUUUGAGUGUCUUCUAUGAUGCUGAUUGGGCUGGAAGUGUUGAUGAUAGAAAAUCUACUAGAGGUUUUGCAAUAUUCUUCGGUCCCAAUCUAGUAUUUUGGAGUGCUAGAAAACAGGCUACAGUCUCAAAGUCUAAGUACUGAAGGAGAAUACAAGUCUAUGGCUAAUGCUACUGCAGAAUUGAUUUGGCUACAAUCGUUAUUAUUGGAACUUGGAGUGAAAUUAACAUAGUCACCUAUUUUAUGGUGUGACAAUUUGGGAGCCACCUAUCUUUCAGCAAAUCCGAUUUUCCAUGCUCGAGCAAAACAUAUAGAAAUUGAUUUUCACUCUGUCCGAGAGUGAGUAACCAAGAAGCUGCUACAAGUCAGAUUAAUAUCUACAUAUGAUCAUGUUGCAGAUGGAUUUACCAAAGCCUUGCCGAUUGGUAAGCUAGACAGUUUCAAAAAUAAUCUAAAUCUCAAAAGAAAGAGAAGUUUAGAUUGAGGGAGGAUGUUAGAGAUAUACUUGUAAUGACUUGUAAUGAGUUUAGUACUAUUGUGAUCUUAGAGAUUGACUCGGUUGCUUAGAGAUAGGAUCCUCUUGUAAUUCAAGUUAUAAGACAAAUGUGUCCUAGAUGAUCACAAUAGUACUCAUGUAAGUCUCUCAGUGAAUUUCACCCUAUAUUAACAUGCAACCGUGGCCAGCCAAGAUAGACAACCAUGUUUCCUCAUAUUCUUACACUGGAUGCGUCCUUUUGUUGGCCUUGUGACACUGUUAGUUUUUAUCUUACCAUGCCUGUGACCUUUUAUUACCACAUGGUAUACAUCAGAGUUACGAUCAAGCUCAAGGCACAUCGACAAACUCUCGUAGUGGUACUUCUUCAUCAAGCCACUCCUCACUGAUGACCCUUAACACUACUGAAAAACUGAGCAUUCGUCCCAAGGCUCAGUACCAGUCACAUUAGUACCGGGCCUAACAGCUAGUCCCCGAUGAGGCCCCAGUAAACCCCUUUAGUAUCAGGUGGAGACUUCACCUGGUACUAAAAGGUUGCACAUUAGUACCGGGUGAAGUCUCCACCUGGUACUAAAUGGACUUCACUGGAUUGAAGCAUAGUUAUUGGGACCGGACCGGACCGGCGGUCCGACCAAUAAAAGACCGAACCAGAGCCUCAGCCGGUUUGGUCCGCCUAAAAGAUCGGAUAAGCAAUCGAACCGGAAAAAACCGGUUGAACCGGCGGUUUUUAGCAAGAAACCGGUAUAAAACCGGACAAGAAACCGGUACAGACCGGAGAAACCGAGCGCAAGGAGAAAAAACAGCGCGCAGGGAAGAAAAUAGGAGGAAAAAUGGCGUGGCUGGGGUUCGAACCCCCACCUUUGCCUUCGGCAAUGUGGAUAAUGUGGAUAGCAACCAUCAGGCUGCAGCUGUGUUUGUGAUUUUAGUUGAUAAGUUAUCAUAUUUGAACCGUGUUGAACCGGUGGUUCAACCGGUUGAACCAAUCAAACCGCGAACCGAGAGCUCGACCGGUUCAUUGUCCGGUCCGGUCCUAAUAACUAUGGAUUGAAGUCCACCGCACGCAUCCGCUCCUCACCAUCUUAUCCGCACGCCUCCCUCUCUCUCCCGAACGGCCCUCCUCUCCCCCUCUCCCCCACGGCGGCCUUGCUUCUCUUCCUCCCAUUCUUCCAAGCAUGCCUCUCCCCUCCCCUCACAACUGCCCCUCGCCUCUCCCCUUCGUGCCCCCUCAUUGCGACGCCGGUAAGGAGCGACGGCGGGACGAGGUGAGACGACAACAUGGCAGUGGUGGAGCGCAGAGGCGGAGUGGCGGGCGACGGUGCGGGGACCUGCAGCGUGGAGAUUCGGCGGGGGCAGCGGGAUCUAAGGGGUGGCGGCACAGCAGGACGAGGUGCACAGCUUCACCUCUCUCUCUUUCUGGGCGAGGGCGGCCGAUGGCGCGAGGGGGCUAGCGAAGCGCGUCGCGAGGGCGGCUAGCCGAGCGAGGGGGCCGGCAAGGGGUUGCGGGGGAGGCGAGGUGGCGGGUCGUCUGACGAGGAGGAAGAGCGGCUGGCGGUGAUGAGGAGCGAGUCGGAAGAGCAUCUCUCUCUCUGAUGCGGGGCUCAAGUGCUGUGCGGCCGGGGCUCCGGCACUUGAGUGGAAGGCGGCGGGGUGCGGCCAGGCUCUGGUCGGCGGAUUUCUUUUUUUUUAAUUUUUUAAUACCCCUUUUAGUACCGGAUCAAGUACCGGUUAUUUGAUCCGGUACUAAAGGACCCCCUUUGCUACCGAUAUAGCAGUAUCGGUUGCACAACUAGUACUAAAGUGAGGUUUGGGACAGGUACUAAAGGUGGAUUCCCAACAGCGGUGUAACCAAGCUAUAAGGAGACAAGUUUGGCACAUUCAUGUGCUGCCUGCGGGUGAUUAAUUUUCCGUAAAUUAAAGGCUGUAUCUCUUGUCCGAAAAAUAGCUUGUCUCAUCGCCUAAGCUAGCAUUUUAGUUUCUACAGGUGCGAUUUGUGACGCUAGGGAUGAACAGUGUUUUCCACUAAUGUAGCACCUGUAACCAUAUAGUCAGUAACGUUCCUCACCUUGGAUUCAUCACUAAAUCUAUGGCAACAAGAAAAUGUUGCUAAAAACGUCAUAAUUUGAGGAACUCCAAAAGGCUGCUAAUCUUACCCUCAAUACUCUUUUUAGGGAAAAAGAAGAAAAAACGAACUCCAACAGUCCACUCAAACCUUCCCCAAUUUUUUAGCAACGCUAAAAAAUAACCUACCACCGCGUAUAUUUUAGCGUUAGCAUUCCUCCUCCAAUCCUGAUUCUCGCACGCUCGCGCGUCCCUUCCGAUGGGCCCAAUACGAUGACGUGACCUGUUUUAAAAUAUUGGGGGCUAUUUAUUAGCAAUCUGCUGUGGAUUGAUAUAUUUUGGGGAAAUUUUUUUUUGGAAGAACCUCCAAUAUAUAGUUUUGGGGAAGAAUUUUUUGGAGUACUCUCUAUAUGCCCAAUUCUUGUUCGACCCGGUCUAUUUUCCCUCAUCUUAGGUUUGGCCUUUUUAGCCCAAUUUACUUUUAGCACAGUCCAUUUUGGGCUCAAUUAUAUAUGGGCCAAGCUCGGGAAACAAUCGAUUAAAUUUUAUAUUACAUACAUAUCAUUUGCCUUGAAACUGCUCAAACUUCCACUGUUUGCCUCAUCAGAUUUCCUGGAAUUAACAAGCUUCACAUGUCUGUCAUGGAAGGAGCAAUUGAUUGGUGAUCUAGUCGUAGCCUGGCCGGAAAUAAAAUCUGCAAUUCCUGAGAUGGAAGAAGAGGGCAACAUAGUGCAUCAAGGCCCCUUUAUAUAUGGCUUUGAUUCUGCAGUAAGUAGUGCGACUCCAUGCUGCAUCAUGGAUACUGAAAAUGUGGGAGAAGACGAAUAGUAAUAUAUCAUGCUCAUGCAUAGCAGCUCGGCAUCUAACAAGACAAGCAGGAUCAUGGCAUGGGUCGAUGAGUUUUAUUUCGAGUCUCAACUCAGAACACCAACAGCAGCUACAUGGAGUUAUUAAUCGAUGAACACUGAUGAGGGUGUGAUAAAAAUAAAAGCAGUUCAUCACAGCACAAGCACAGAAGCACAUCUUGACAAAGAGCCGUUGGAUGAUCGAUCAACCGAUGGGUCGGAGGCGAGCGCGCUCUAGCUUUAUUAGCCGAUGUAGUACAUGGGGUCGGGCAGCUUGAAGGUGCGCGCCCCCUCCGGCGCGCCGAGGAUGUCGCUCCACUGGUCGCCGAUGUUGCCGACGAUGACGUACCCGGCGUCCUGGAGCUUCCGGCGCUCGCCGGACUUGAAGCCGAUGGCGGUGCCCUUGAACCCGACGGGCUUGAGCAGCAG
RNAcentral lists this long non-coding RNA (11628 nucleotides) under Setaria italica (foxtail millet). RNAcentral describes it as "long non-coding RNA (SITA_LNC001903)". The stretch from base 4370 to 4508 matches the Rfam family "Small nucleolar RNA Z247". Lineage: Eukaryota; Viridiplantae; Streptophyta; Magnoliopsida; Poales; Poaceae. The record is from RNAcentral.